UAAAACAAACUUGUUAAAAUAUAAUAUUCAAAAUUAUUAAAAACUGGUGUGAUAAGUGUGAUAUAAAAAUCGUUACAAAUAUAUAUUGCUACAAAUUAAUGGUAAAUAAUUAAAAAGCUUGGAAAGUGUGAAAUCAUCUCUACUAAUACAAAAACUUUUUCAUGCAUCGUUCAUCGUUAAACUUUACAAUUCACUACUGUGCUAAUCGUAGGCCUAUAAUGUGUUAUAUGAUAACAUAAAAUUCACGUCCCCCGUCUAGGCUAGCUGGUUAAUAAGGGUUGUUUCGGUAGACGGUUUGCUUGUACGGGGGGCCGGUUGGUGGUGGGCCUUCAAGGAAUUCUCCACGUUUGCAUAGGGCAUUUCGAUCAUGGAUGGCGGUCCACGUGAUGGUUCCAUGUGGAAGUCGUCUUGAUAGUAAGAACGAUGAUGGUUCUGUG
Non-coding RNA from Paramuricea clavata, 437 nucleotides. NCBI's taxonomy places the organism in Eukaryota, Metazoa, Cnidaria, Anthozoa, Malacalcyonacea, Plexauridae. The record is from the annotation of a GenBank genome assembly.